Molecule: RNA transcript, 3218 nt
Organism: Theobroma umbraticum
Lineage: Eukaryota; Viridiplantae; Streptophyta; Magnoliopsida; Malvales; Malvaceae
Gene name: 3-ketoacyl-CoA synthase 11 pseudogene
Source: RefSeq, a predicted model, not a curated record
GGCCUCCGUAUGAGUGCUGUCUAGGACUCGCAAGCAGCGCCUUUUCAGAAGGCAGUUUCAAAUACUUCCUCCGCUCAUUCAUUCUCUUUCUCUAACUCUUCACUGUCUCUGAAGCUGUAAGGAGAUCUUUUUCUCUCCUACUAAUCCACAUUGUAAGGGAUUCCAAUGCUGAUAAGAGCUGCAUUAGCUUAGUUUGUACCUCGAAGGACCUUUCUUGACAGUCUGAAAUUUUAAAUAAACCAGUUCCAAUUCCAUUAUAAUUCCUUUGCUGUUGAAAAUCCAAGGAAAGCUUUACCCAACCUCAACUACCUUGUCUUUUGUUUGAUUUCGACUUCAUCAUCAGAAAUUCCUUCAAAAUGCACUCUCCUCUUCACUACUGUUUCAUCUAAAUUUCUUAUCUAUAAACAUUUGUUCAUUUGUUUUACCAAAACAACCCACCAACAAAGAAAAAAAAAUGUCUGAAUCUAAUCCAAGAUUACCUUCUAACAAGCUUCCUGAUUUCAAGCAAUCUGUGAAACUGAAAUACGUUAAACUUGGCUACCAUUACCUGAUAACUCAUGGAAUGUACAUAUUUUUAACCCCUCUUGUUAUGGUCAUUGCUGCACAACUCUCCACUUUCUCGCUUCAAGAUCCCCACGAUCUUUGGGACCAUCUUCGUUUUAAUCUAAUUUCUGUGAUCCUAUGUUCCACCCUUCUCGUUUUCUUAUCAACCCUUUAUUUUCUUACUCGUCCUCGUCCUGUUUACCUUGUUGAGUUUUCAUGUUACAAGCCAGAUGAUGCUAGGAAAUGCACCAGGGAGAUGUUCAUCGAAAGGUCUGUUUCGACUGGUACAUUCACAGAGGAAAAUCUUGAGUUUCAAAGGAAAAUUGUUGAGAGGUCUGGUCUUGGGGAGUCCACUUACCUCCCCGAAGCUGUUUUAACAAUUCCUCCUUAUCCAUGCAUGGCAGAGGCAAGGAAAGAAGCAGAAGCUGUGAUGUUUGGCGCACUUGACCAGCUUUUUGAGAAAACAUCUUUGAAACCUAAAGAUGUUGGAAUUUUAAUUGUCAAUUGCAGCUUGUUUAAUCCAACACCUUCUUUAUCUGCAAUGGUAAUUAAUCAUUACAAGCUUAGAGGGAAUAUUAUUAGUUAUAAUCUAGGUGGGAUGGGCUGUAGUGCUGGUUUGAUAUCCAUUGAUCUUGCCAAAGAUCUUCUUCAAGCACAUCCAAAUUCCUAUGCUUUGGUCGUUAGCAUGGAAAACAUUACUUUGAAUUGGUAUUUUGGGAAUGAAAGGUCCAUGCUUCUUUCCAAUUGCUUGUUCCGGAUGGGAGGGGCUGCAAUUUUGCUUUCCAAUAAAAGGUUUGAUGGAUGGCGGUCCAAGUAUAGAUUGGUCCAUACUAUUCGAACUCACAAAGGUGCAGAUGAUAAAUGCUUCACUUGUGUUACUCAGAAAGAGGAUUCUACCGGGAGGAUUGGAGUUUCUUUGUCAAAGCAUCUGAUGACGGUUGCUGGGGAUGCUCUGAAGAUUAAUAUCACAACCCUUGGUCCUCUUGUUUUACCAAUGUCUGAGCAGUUACUCUUCUUUGCCACUUUGGUUGCCAGGAAAUUUUUCAAGAUGAAGGUGAAGCCUUACAUCCCAGAUUUCAAAUUGGCUUUUGAGCAUUUCUGCAUUCAUGCUGGUGGAAGAGCUGUACUGGAUGAGUUGGAGAAGAACUUGCAACUCUCAGAUUGGCAUAUGGAACCUUCAAGAAUGACACUGUAUCGAUUUGGUAACACUUCAAGCAGCUCUCUUUGGUAUGAAUUGGCUUAUACAGAGGCCAAAGGGAGGAUUAAGAAGGGAGACAGAACAUGGCAAAUAGCAUUCGGUUCAGGGUUUAAGUGCAACAGUGCUGUUUGGAAGGCUCUGCGGACCAUAAAUCCAGCUAAGGAUACAAGCCCAUGGAUGGAUGAGAUUCACCAAUUCCCAGUGGAUGUUCCAAAGGUUUCAGCAAUCUAGAAUCCAUUUAACCAUUUUGCUUUUCCAGCAUUAGAUUAGUGAUUGCUCUUCAGAUUUGAUCAUGUUCGACUGCUGAUUAAUUGGGCUAACUUUUCAUUGGGUGGCAAAGUAACCAGUUCCGAUGUGAAUUGAUAAAACAGAGUUGGCAUUUCUACCAGACGGUUAUUUGAUUCUCAUAACAGUGCAAAUAAUAGGCCAACCAUAAUGAGAAAUCAACCCAUCCAUCCUGUCAAUACUGAUAAAAGUCAUCACAAAUCAGCAAAUAUACAUAGAAAUCAAUCUUUCCAAGACUUUUGAGCUAACGAUCAAGAGAGACCUAGUUAUUAAUCCUUAGGGCACUUGUUUGAUAAGAGCCUUGUGAAUGUGAGGGAUGACACCAGGACCAGCUAUGGUUCCUUUGAUAAGGGUAUCAUGUUCUUCAUCACCAUAAACUGUUAACUGCAGAUACCUUCACAUGAUUAAUUACUUGCAGCAGUACCUGCCAACUCUACGACUUGUACACUCAGGUACUCCAAGAUGGCAGAAGUGUGGACAGCUGCAGUUGCGCCAACUCUUCCAUUUGCUUUGACCCUUCACCUGAGAAGACGAUGAAUCUGGCCAGCACUGAACUGCAGGACAAGUUACAAGGUCGAGCAAUUAGGGAGAAAAGGCAUCAGUGAAUGGCGACAAAUUUACCAAUCGAAUACAUACAGGGAAAGAAUUCGAAAACAAUUAAGAUUGUGGUCUUGGUUUUCAUUAACAGUUUUUUUUUUAAAAAUAAUAAUAAUUUUAUAGUAUAACAUUGUAUAAAAAAUAAUAAGAACAAUUAUUAUAAAUAAAAUAUUAUUUUAUGUUGAACAAUAAUUAUAACAAGUGAAGUAUUAUUUUAUGUAAAAUUAUUAAAACAAGUGAAAUAUUAUUUCAUACAAAACAAUUAGAGUAAGUGAACUGUUAUUUUAUUUUAUACAGAAUAAUCACUUUAUACGGAUGAUAGUGAAAAUAACUUAGAAUAAGUGACAGAAUUCAAGAGUUAUUUUUAUCUUGAAAAGUUUUAUAAAGUUUGAUUUGGUGGUUCAGAUAUAGAGGUAAUUAAGAAGUUUUUAUUUUAACUUUUUUCUAAAGUACAAAUAGUACAAGUGUUUUUCUCUUCUUCUCUUAUUCUCUUGUACUUGUUUAUGUAUACCAUUUUCUCUUAAUUUAUUCUUGUAUAACUUUUUAUGUAUGUUUCUUCUUUAUUAUUUUUUUAUUUGAGAAUAAGUUUUAUUAU